UACGGAGGGUGCAAGCGUUGCUCGAAUUUACUGGGCGUAAAGCGCACGCAGGCGGAAUGAAGGGUCGGAUGUGAAAGCCCGGGGCUCAACUCCGGAAUUGCAUUCGAAACCGCCAUUCUAGAGUACGGGAGAGGGAAGUGGAAUUCCUGGUGUAGAGGUGAAAUUCGUAGAUAUCAGGAGGAACACCGGUGGCGAAAGCGGCUUCCUGGCCCGAUACUGACGCUCAUGUGCGAAAGCGUGGGGAGCAAACAGG
This 253-nucleotide ribosomal RNA is filed under the name uncultured bacterium. Its description in RNAcentral is "partial 16S ribosomal RNA". It matches the Rfam family "Bacterial small subunit ribosomal RNA", at positions 524 to 776 of the family's 1533-position model. The record is from RNAcentral.